UCGUGCAUACAAAGUCCAUUAAAUACUCCAAUAAAAAUAUGGUGCUUUUUCGAGAAAAAACGCGAUUUUCAAAUUCAAGACAAAGUCAUGCAGGUGCCAUCAACGACUAAAUUACCAUUUGUAUGAAAAAGUCAUUAACGACUUCCAUAUAAACGGAGCCCAAAGUCAUUGAAGACUUGAUAUGGCCGUACAAGACACUGAGGCACGGUGCACAUUAGUGCGAUACGAUAUGCGAUGCGAUAUGCUAUACGAUAUGGAUGCGACAUCGACAUGCGGAGUACGUGGUAAUUGGUAGGAAGCGAUGAAAACUGUGCACACUUUCACGACAGCGACACCGAUGCGAUAUAAUAUCGCAUGCGUAUCGCACGUGCGACACCGCUGCGAUAUACACGGUUUGUUGAACGAGGUGAAAUAAGUAUUGCGCGGUAUUUUUUGCAAUAAGCAUGGCCUUUUCACAGGAGGAAGCAUCUUCCUCAAUUUUUUUAGUCGAAUUAAUAAAAAAAAACCCUAUGCUUAUGGAGCUAUACAGAAAAAACUACUGUAGAACAGACAUGACUAGUUUGGCAUGGAGAAAUAUAGCGUCUGAUGUCAAGGACACAGAAGAGAACGUUAAGUGGAGAAAUAUCCGUACAGCGUUCAUAAGGCCAAAAAACAACCCAAAUCAGGAUCAGGAUCAGGUAGAGCAAAGAAGCCAUAUUAUCUGGCACCCCACCUCUAUUUUCUCCGUCCGUUCAUGAAAUCAGCCACAACUUCUGGAAAUAUAACGCAAGACACGGAAACUGAUGAUGACAGAGAAGAAGAAUAUGACUUCAGAAACACCAAAUAUUCGACCACUAAGUGGAUCAAGCGAAACUCCAAACAUUCAACCAUUCAGUGAAUCAAGUGAAACACCAAAUGUUCAACCGCCCAGUGGAAUCUCUCCUGAAGUUGAAUCUGAAUCGGAAAUCGUUAUUCCACCCCAGCCGAAAAGGCAAAGGAAAACUCGUCAACAGCCGCGACAGGAACAAUUGACAAAUGACGCGAACAAUGCGUUUGUAGAAUGGGUGGAAUUAAAAAACAGAGCGUCAAAAGAGGCGAGAAAAGUGAACAGCGAGACUCAGACUGGUUGUUUCUUAAGUCUCUCCUACCUGAUUUAAGAAAACUA
Long non-coding RNA from Rhagoletis zephyria (snowberry fruit fly), 1144 nucleotides. RefSeq lists it as uncharacterized. Lineage: Eukaryota; Metazoa; Arthropoda; Insecta; Diptera; Tephritidae. The record is from RefSeq and is a predicted model, not a curated record.